This 550-nucleotide ribosomal RNA is filed under the name Conus sp. h NP-2014. RNAcentral describes it as "partial 12S ribosomal RNA". Lineage: Eukaryota; Metazoa; Mollusca; Gastropoda; Neogastropoda; Conidae. The record is from RNAcentral.
AGACCAAGAAAUUAAGUCAUAUUUAUUACGGUAAAAAGACAGUUAAAUUAAUAAAAUUGGUAAUCUGAUUAUUUAUAAAGAAGUAAAAUUCGAAUAUAAAUAUAUAUUUCAAGAAAAACUAAAAAAUUGAAUCUGUGAUAGCUUUAAGGGAAACUGGGAUUUGAUACCCCAUUAUUUUUAGUCGUAAAUAAAUCAAAUUUAACGUAUUUACCAGAGUACUACGAAUCCAAAAAUUUAAAACUCAAAGAGCUUGGCGGUGCUUUAGACCACUUAGGGGAACCUGUCUCGUAAUCGACAAUCCACGCUAAACCUUACCUUUUUUUGCAGUCAGUUUGUAUACCGUCGUCGUCAGGUGACUCUUAAAGAAAUUGAAGUCAGCUAGAUAAUCGUUAAUUAAAACGUCAGAUCAGGGUGCAACUUAUAAAGGGGAGAAGAUGGGUUACAAUUAGAAAUUCCUAAUUACGAAAGAUUAUUUGAAUAAAUAUUUAAGAAGGAGGACUUAAAAGUAAUUUUGAUUAUAUAAAAGCUUUGAAUUAGGCUCUGAAGCGUG